GGGGAUUUAGCUCAGUGGUACAGCGCUUGCCUAGCAAGCACAAGGCCCUGGGUUCGGUCCCCAGCCCCG
RNAcentral lists this transfer RNA (69 nucleotides) under Rattus norvegicus (Norway rat). It matches the Rfam family "tRNA". From Rfam's summary of the family: Transfer RNA (tRNA) molecules are approximately 80 nucleotides in length. The record is from Rfam by way of RNAcentral. Lineage: Eukaryota; Metazoa; Chordata; Mammalia; Rodentia; Muridae.